Molecule: ribosomal RNA, 478 nt
Filed under: uncultured bacterium
Lineage: Bacteria
Description: partial 16S ribosomal RNA
Rfam family: Bacterial small subunit ribosomal RNA
Source: RNAcentral
GAUGAACGCUGGCGGCGUGCUUAACACAUGCAAGUCGAACGGGAAUUAUUUUAUUGAAACUUCGGUCGAUUUAAUUUAAUUCUAGUGGCGGACGGGUGAGUAACGCGUGGGUAACCUGCCUUAUACAGGGGGAUAACAGUCAGAAAUGGCUGCUAAUACCGCAUAAGCGCACAGAGCUGCAUGGCUCAGUGUGAAAAACUCCGGUGGUAUAAGAUGGACCCGCGUUGGAUUAGCUGGUUGGUGGGGUAACGGCCCACCAAGGCGACGAUCCAUAGCCGGCCUGAGAGGGCGAACGGCCACAUUGGGACUGAGACACGGCCCAGACUCCUACGGGAGGCAGCAGUGGGGAAUAUUGCACAAUGGGGGAAACCCUGAUGCAGCGACGCCGCGUGAAGGAAGAAGUAUCUCGGUAUGUAAACUUCUAUCAGCAGGGAAGAUAGUGACGGUACCUGACUAAGAAGCCCCGGCUAACUACGUG